Molecule: ribosomal RNA, 485 nt
Filed under: uncultured bacterium
Lineage: Bacteria
Description: partial 16S ribosomal RNA
Rfam family: Bacterial small subunit ribosomal RNA
Source: RNAcentral
AUUGAACGCUGGCGGCAUGCCUUACACAUGCAAGUCGAACGGCAGCACGGGUGCUUGCACCUGGUGGCGAGUGGCGAACGGGUGAGUAAUACAUCGGAACAUGUCCUGUAGUGGGGGAUAGCCCGGCGAAAGCCGGAUUAAUACCGCAUACGAUCUACGGAUGAAAGCGGGGGCCCUUCGGGCCUCGCGCUAUCGGGUUGGCCGAUGGCUGAUUAGCUAGUUGGUGGGGUAAAGGCCUACCAAGGCGACGAUCAGUAGCUGGUCUGAGAGGACGACCAGCCACACUGGGACUGAGACACGGCCCAGACUCCUACGGGAGGCAGCAGUGGGGAAUUUUGGACAAUGGGCGAAAGCCUGAUCCAGCAAUGCCGCGUGUGUGAAGAAGGCCUUCGGGUUGUAAAGCACUUUUGUCCGGAAAGAAAUCCUUGGCUCUAAUACAGUCGGGGGAUGACGGUACCGGAAGAAUAAGCACCGGCGAACUACGU